UGGCUAACUAGAAUAAACAGUGUAGAGA
This 28-nucleotide non-coding RNA is filed under the name Macaca fascicularis (crab-eating macaque). RNAcentral also lists the same sequence under 1 other name. The record is from RNAcentral. Lineage: Eukaryota; Metazoa; Chordata; Mammalia; Primates; Cercopithecidae.